RNAcentral lists this long non-coding RNA (1985 nucleotides) under Sinocyclocheilus grahami. RNAcentral describes it as "lncRNA (ENSSGRG00000021717.1)". The record is from RNAcentral. Lineage: Eukaryota; Metazoa; Chordata; Actinopteri; Cypriniformes; Cyprinidae.
AUUAAUGCAAGCAGCUGCUCAAUUCGAGCCAAGAAAAGAGCUUGAUCAGAAGUGCAAAAUAAAGGCAAUCAACUGCAUUCAUCAGAACAUUUUAGGAUAUAUCCUCCUCACUAGGAUGCAUCCUCCCGUGUUGUGUGUGAACGGCUCCAUAGACUGCUCCAGCCUCAUCACGUGCAGUUUGGGGCGGAACGGGUUCAUGAUGAAGUGAAACUGAAAGCGACUGUGUCACGCGCCAUCUUCAGAGAACUCAAACUCAGAAAAUGUCGUCGUAUGUUACGGCCUGAAAUCAAGUUUCUCAUCAAGUGGGAAGAGGAGGAGAAACCUGCCUGAGAAAUGAGUGUGUAUGAGGAGAGAGAGGAUGAGACUACUGUUGACGCUCAGAGAGCAGCAUCUCCAGGAUUCAGCUGUGUGUCUAUGAAGAGUAACAACUCCAUGCAUCUGCCCCCUUUUCUCAGUGGUGUUGACACUCAGAGAGCAGCAUCUCCAGGAUUCAGCUGUGUGUCUGUGAAGAGUAACAACUCCAUGCAUCUGCCCCCUUUUCUCAGUGAUGUUCACACUCAGAGAGCAGCAUCUCCAGGAUUCAGCUGUGUGUCUGUGAAGAGUAACAACUCCAUGCAUCUGCCCCCUGAACUCAGUGAUGUUGACGCUCAGAGAGCAGCAUCUUCAGGAUUCAGCUGUGUGUCUAUGAAGAGUAACAACUCCAUGCAUCUGCCCCCUUUUCUCAGUGGUGUUGACACUCAGAGAGCAGCAUCUCCAGGAUUCAGCUGUGUGUCUGUGAAGAGUAACAACUCCAUGCAUCUGCCCCCUUUUCUCAGUGAUGUUCACACUCAGAGAGCAGCAUCUCCAGGAUUCAGCUGUGUGUCUGUGAAGAGUAACAACUCCAUGCAUCUGCCCCCUGAACUCAGUGAUGUUGACGCUCAGAGAGCAGCAUCUUCAGGAUUCAGCUGUGUGUCUAUGAAGAGUAACAACUCCAUGCAUCUGCCCCCUUUUCUCAGUGAUGUUGACACUCAAAGAACAGCAUCUCCAGGAUUCAGCUGUGUGUCUAUGAAGAGUAACAACUCCAUGGCUAUUCCCCCUUUUCUCAGUGAUGGAUCUGCUGUGAACUCUGGACCUGGCAGGAAGAGAAAGAAAGCAGCAUCUCCAGUAUCCAACUGUGUGUCCAUGAAGAGAAAUAGAAUGAUCCACACAUCAGAAUCCCUGAAUGAUCCACACAUGUUCAGGACUGGAGCAGUGCGCUUUGACCCUGUUGGUAAAAAAGCUGUUUCCUCACCGACCGGCACAUCCCCCUACUGUCAGAACAACUUCAGUCAUCAUGACACAGUAGCAAACCUGCAGCUCAAUUUAGACCAACCAAUGCAUGUUGAUCUGCAGAGAAUCAAAGACCAGCACAAAACCAGCAUGAAGAACAAGUCACAGUGAGAUUCUGAAAAUGUUCCUGACAGGAAAGUCCAGAACUCAUUGUGAGGAUGUUCCUCUGGAUGUGUUUCUGAAGGGAGCAACGAAUAAAGCAUUGAGCAGUAAAAAUGGACAUCUGGAUCUUUUCCUUCGAUUUCUUCAUGGCAUCUCACUGGAGUCCAAUCAGAGACUCUUACAGGAUGCACUGAUACACACAGAGAACAACCCAGAGAGCAUCAAGAACAUAAUCAACAACCUCAAACGAGGUCAAAAAAACAAUGUUUGUCCUGAAAGAUGGAUGAAUCUGUCACACUGCUUGAUUGAGAUGAAGGAUAACUCUGUAGUUGAAAGAGUGCAGGUGCUUUUAAAAUCUAAAGCAAAAAGUAAAAGUCUUUCUCUUGCACAAUGCUCAACUUUGGCAAACAUGAUCAUGAUGUCGGAGGAGGUGCUGGAUGAGUUAGACCUUAAAAAGUAUAAUAUCAAAUCAAAAGAGGGUCGAUGGAGACUGUUCCCUGCUGUGAGAAACUGCAGAAAAGCUCUGUGAGUAUGCGAAAAUGAACAUAUUUACAUUUGACUUUUUUUUGGGGGGG